Non-coding RNA from Musa acuminata subsp. malaccensis (wild Malaysian banana), 1035 nucleotides. The record is from RefSeq and is a predicted model, not a curated record. NCBI's taxonomy places the organism in Eukaryota, Viridiplantae, Streptophyta, Magnoliopsida, Zingiberales, Musaceae.
CACGCAUACACAUAUUAUGGUUUGUGGUUUAAGUUAGUACUGCAUAUAUUGGCCUCUUUUAUUUUAUCUCCAAUAUUAUUUUCCAGAGUAAUUGCCUUUAUUGGUUCUGUAAAAGUCUGCUUUUUUUUGAUUUCUUGCAUGUGGAAUGGUUCCAUAUGUAUAUUGACAUGGGUCUCAAUAUUGUGUAGCCAAACUUAUUGACAUAAUUGAUCACUCAUUUCAGAAAGUGCCCCAUGUGGGCUUUCAGUUUAGUUUUGAGGGUAUUUUCAGACUGAACAAAUUAGUACAAUUGUAGAACUUGAAACCAGACUAGAUUGAACUGUAAAACAAAUUGAACCAAAAUUAUUUGGUCAUGUCUGGUUUUCAAACCCUACUAUUAUAUGUAUUCACAAUAUCACAAAAUAUCAUAAUUGCCAUGCAAAUAUAUGUUCAUAUGUAUUCACGAAAUGCAUUAGAUUUAUAAUUUUCUAGUAUCUGAUCGAACAAAUAUAUGGUUCUGUUCAGUGCAGUUUGGGUGGUUUUUCAAAAUUGGCAUCCUAAACUGAACAAAAUUAGUUUUACUAGCAUUUGGUUUUUGAACUUUCUUAACCCAGACAAAAAUCAAUUCUUUCUGCAAAAUUGACAGAGAAACCAAUACUCCUUUGUCAGGGAAUUUGUAUGUGUCGUAGUAAGAAUAUUAAGAAGCUUUCAGUUUGAAUAAAGUCAUUUGUGAACUGAUGCUUUUGGUGAUGCAGACGGCAUGUCUCCUAUUUCUGCAUCAUUCAGCAAGCAGGCUUCGUGUUGCCAGCUCCUCUCCAUCUAUAGCGCCCUGCCAUUGUUACCCAGAUGGAGAGUUCAUUCAACAACUCCAUAUACGAAGAUAAUGUGCAAGCCGGUCUUCUCGAUUGGGCUACCCAUGCAAAGAAGAACAAGAUAGUGCAAUCAGCAGACAGUGUGUCGAUAUUGCAAGAAACCGAGAUAACAUGGGGAGGGAGGCGAGCUGAGAUCACUGAAACAUAGCUUUUAUAUUAUCUCUAUGAAUCCAACUUUACUGCA